Molecule: long non-coding RNA, 7404 nt
Organism: Anastrepha ludens (Mexican fruit fly)
Lineage: Eukaryota; Metazoa; Arthropoda; Insecta; Diptera; Tephritidae
Exons: 2
Source: RefSeq, a predicted model, not a curated record
ACUCGUAGCUCCAUAUAUCAAUUAUUAUACCCACGACUACCCUCUCCUCAAACACUGUGUACUUAUCUGGGCCUAGACAUUUCUUAUGGUCUCACCUUUUCGUGAGACGCAAAAAGUUAAUACAAUGGUCAAAAUCAAAACAAUCGAAUGGCAAAAAAGAAAGAAAUGAGAUAAGCAUACGAAAAUCACAUAGCGAAACUGCGUGUAGGCAAGGGAAUUGCGCCGCUGGAUGCUAUCCAAAUGUGACGUCCAACGGGCUAUAAGUGAAAUGAGUUGUGAGUUGAAGAAUAUAUACAACACCUACUACAAAUGCAUCAUUUGCAAAAGUGCUAAUAUAAUCGAACACAAAAGAAUUUUCAUAUGUACCUGUGGUAGCGAAUAGGUUUUUAGCAGUAUCGCCGGCGUUUGCAACGAGCUGCACUGCAUUGUGCAAACACUGUUUCGGCAUACGUCUAAAUGCUAUAUAGUUUGAGAGAUUCUCUUUCCAACCCAUUUUUAUUUUCAGUCUGUUUUUCUAUUGUUAUAUGUAUAUGUGAAUAUGUUUAGUAUAUAUUGUGUGUUUUCAUUUAUUAAGAAAAAGCAAUUUGAUAAGCAAAUAGGUGUACGAGUAUGUUUGUACUAUUUCGCGAAACUACUCGCUCUACACUGGGUCUUUGUUUUUUCUUUGGCGAACGGGUGUCGUUUUAACGAUGCGAUUUAUUUCCCCUUUACACAAUCGAGCACUGGCAGUAAAUGGAGCAACGGCCAUAAGCUGAUAACCCUAAACAUUUUUUCACUACACUGUUCACUAAUUCUUUGUUGAGAAUUCUUAUUCACAUCAUUUCUAAGUUUUGUAUUUAGUGGCUUUAAAAUAUUGUCCUAAUCAGUAAUUUUAAAAAUACUCACCUUGUACUUUAGGCUCGCUUGCAAGCAAAUAUAUAAGUAUGACUGCAAUUUUUUAUUACUCAUCGCUUAAAAAUCGUAUGACUAAGGCAAUAUUCGUUGGCAAAUUACCGCCUCGUCUGAAAAUUAUGAAUGAAACUAUAAACCAAGUCAAACUGAAGCUUAGGUUGUUUGCUUUAUAUACUCACUUGUAUAUGCUUUUGGAAUUUGCAUAUCGCCUUAAAUUUCAAAAUUAUGUACAUCCUAUCUAUGUAUGAUACAUUCGUUCGUGCGUCCCUUCACCCUUUGUGUGAAUAGUUUUUAUUAACAUUUGAUUAUAUUGAAGAGUUUUCGCACUUCACUUAAAUAUAUAAUAUAUUUUUAUGCUUUCAACUUACUUAUGCAGGGUAUUCUAAUAGGAACGAGUCGUCCAGGUUGUUUUGGUGGUUUGCUUUUUGUGUUAUUAACCAGUAAUUUAUGUCAAUUAACUAUGAUAGGUAACAUGAUUGAGCAGCACAUUAUUAGGAACCAUGUGAGGGCAUGAAUUUCGUUCAUACCUGACCAACAGCUUGUUUUAUACCAUUUCGAACGGGUCUUAUUGGAAAAAUCUACGUAUUUUUAUGGCUCUAAAAUGUUUUGAUGUAAGUGAGGAAUUGCAAUUGAUGGUAUUGGUGGUAAUUAGUCGAAAGCAAGUCCAGCCAUUCCGGUAAGCAGACCCUCGAGUGUCGUGUAUAAGUGUUAAGAGACAUCGACGAAGUUUUGAUUCUCAUAUACCACUACCUAAACCAUAUUGUUGUUGCAAAGAAAAAAAAAUCAGGAUAAGUGUUUGCUCGUUAAUGUUUUAACAUGGCUUGUUGAUUUGCACUUCCGUUUCGAAUUUAUUCAGUUCGUCUGGGAAGUGCAGUGUCCUCUCCCCACUGCUGUUUAAUUUCUAUAUUUUUAUUUUUUGCAUUAGAAGGAGUGUCACUAAUCUUUUAUGCUGAUGACUAUUUGAUAAUGGCGUUCAUGAAGCAUAGAGUUUGUAGCAAUUGUUCUUAUUGAUAUUAAAGCCUCGAACGAACGAGCCCCAUAUACACCUGUGGGGGAGUGAAAUCUGAGCUGUGACAUUUAACAAAAGUAAGUAUGGUGUUACUUCACUUUGGAAAAUUGGAAUUAAAGAAUGUAAGGAAAAGAUAAGCCGCAUUACGUGUAUUAGCAGAUUCGUCCCCGAGGAAAAUUUCGAUGAGAUAUACUCGAAUAUGAUUUUUGCGAAUUAUUGAAAUGCCAAAUUACGAGGCUUGGGCUGGAUUUUAAGUUGACUUCAAAACCUCGAGCAUAAUAUCUUCGCAGAAAUUAUCCAGAUAAGAGUUUUUUAUAACAGCUAAAAUAUUUGCAAGUAUUACUUUUUUUUAAACAUACAAUACAUACAAAGAAAUUUUUUUUCUUAUUCCGGAAUUACAUCGAGACCGCAAUAAGCCAGGGCUCUUCAUAUUUAUUUUUCGUAACAACAGGACAAAUACUUUUGCAAAUUUCUACCACAUUACAAAUUUUAGCAAAUCCAGCAAAUAACGAAAUCAUAGGAUUAUGUCUUACUUUAUUCAAAACGAGUGAUGUAUUAUCGAUUUUUUUUUUUAAUAAAUAAAAUACGAGGCUUAAAUAAGACAAGUGUUUUGCGUGUUCGGCGAUCUUCUGCUAUCGGCUUUUGACACUCUUGGACGCUUUGGGACGAUUGGGCUUUGAUUUCGAUGUCAUAUCUAUUGUAUAUACCCAUGAUUCGCCACCAGUUAUGACCCUUUUAAGCAAAUCUGAAUCAUCGUUGACGUCAUGCAACAACACACGCUUCAUGCCCACAAUUUCCGAUUCUGAUUCCACGAUUCUCCAUAACAAUUUUCUUCACUUUUUCAACAUUUUCAUGGGUUGUUGAUGUGCUGGGGCGUGCAGAGCGAGCGUCGUCAUUCACGUCUUCUCGACCUUCUGUGAAAAGCCUGUACCACUUGAAAAUAUUUUUUUGACUGAGAGUACUCCCACCGUAUGCCACUGUCAUCAUUUCAAGUGUAUUCGAGCAGUUAAUUCCAUUUCUUAUAGCAGAAAAUCGCCGAACACGCAAAACACUAGUCUUGUUUAUGCCUCUCACAAACAAACUAAACAUGCUGUAUUGCUAAAACCGUCUUCGAGACGAGUGUACCAACAUAGAAAAAAAUAAUACUGGUAAUUGAAAGUCGAAUGUACGUAGCCCGCGAAAUUUGAAAAUUCACCUUUUUUUUAGCAAAUCUCGUACAUACAAACAACCACUGGACCAGAUGUGUAAGCAGCAGAUUUCAAAUGACAUUAAUAGAAGUUCUUCACUAAUUGUCAUCCUAUUAACACGUUCACGCCGGCGCGUACCACCGGUGGCUCGCACAAGUCUGCUUCAUGGGGCGGCGCGUACCACCGGUGGCUCGCACAAGAUUGCUUCAUGAGGCGGCGUGUACCAGCGGUGGCCCGCACAAGAUUGCUUCAUGGGACGGCGUGUACCACCAAUGGUACUUUAUUAGACGAUGUAAACGUUGCCGUCUGUGGGCGAAGACCAUGAAUAACAGCGCCGGCGGGAACGUGUUAAUGUUCUUAUUAGAGUUCAAGUGUCACUUAUUGUAUACGAAGUUUUACCUGACCAGAUCCACGGCACAAUUACGUUCUGGGUAUUGCGGCAGAUGAACGCUUCUUCUUCUUGUUUGGUGCGAUAACCGCGUACGUGAUUUUGGCCGAGUCUAACAAAGCGCGCCAAACAUUUCUUCCUCGUGCUAACUCGAGCAAUUGGAAACACCAAGUCAAGCCUACUCCUUCUCUACCUGAUCUUUCCUACGCAGAAGUCUUCCUCUACUACCACGAGCUGGUAUCGCAUCGAAUACUUUCAGAGCUGGAGCGUUUGAAACCAUUCGGACGACAUAACCUAGUCAACAAAGCCGCUGGAUCUUUAUUCGCUGCGCUAUGUCUAUGUCUUCGUAAAGCUCAUACAGCUCAUUGUUUCAUCGCCUGCGAUAAUCGCCGUUGCUAAUGAGCAACGGUCCAAAAAUCUUCCGCAGAAUCUUUCAAUUUCACUUGGUAUUGUAAUCGUCCAAGUUUCUGUGCCAUACGAUAGAACGGGCAUAAUAAACGCCUUAUAAAGUGAUAAUUUUGUUCGUCGAGGGAGAACUUUACUGCUCAAUUUCUUACCUAGUCCAAAGCAGCAUUUGUUGGCAAGUGAGAUUUUCCGUUCAGUUCCAAGGGUGACAUUAUUAUCGGUGUUAAUGCUGGUUCCUAGAUUAACGAAGUCUCUUACAACUGCAAAACUGUCAAGCGUGACGUGGGUGCCAAUUCGCGAGUGCGCCGAUUGCUCAUUUGAUGACAAGAGGUACUUCGUUCACCAGCAUACCCAUUCGCUUUGCUUCUUUAUCCAAUUUGGAACAGCGCGGUUGUGAAGGCCGAUGAUGCCAAUAUCAUCGGCAAACACCAACAAUUGUACGCUCUUAUAAAAAACAGAUACAACUCUUACCUAUCCUAAAUUGACCCGACUUAUUCUACAUUUGCACUGAAUGAGAAAAGCACCCGGCAUUUCAUUAAUCGAGUCUUCACUCGCCCCGUAAAACUAACUUUUCAAACACCUCUUUCCUUUCGUUCGCCCACUUUAGAAUUAGAAAGUUGUCUUGGCCUGUCGUAAAAUGAACCAAAAUUAAUAAGCUAACUGAUCCCCAUCAGUGGAAAUUACAAGGUGGCAGAAAAUUAACUCGGCAGCUUUGUUUUUGAAUAGGUUUUUUAAUAAAUAAAAAACGAGAAGAUUUUAAGUGAGGGAAAUCUUUAUUUUGACUUUUACGCGCUCCAUUGCUUGUCUGUUUUGAUACUGCAGCCAUUUGCAAGAAUUAUGAAUUUUCCGAUAGGGUGAUUAAUUUUGCGCCACCUUGUAUUGCCCUUAAUUUACAACUACAAUUAACACUAAACCUACCAUGACGGGUCAAAUGACCCAUUUUAAACUUGUUUUCAGAAGAUUUUGGAAAUAACAUUAUUAAAUCGCCGUUUUCUUUCACGACUUUUAUUAAAAAAUACAUCGAAUGUAUUUUUCAAAAUUUACUCCUCUCUUGCUAAUUGUUUUACCGAGAAAUAUAUGUGAUCUGCUCUAACUACCGUAACGGGUCAUUUGACCCAUGCACAGAUUGUGUCUCUUGAUUGAGCCGUUUUUCCUAUUACGUGUUAUAUUUCGCUCCAUUGAGUUAUAUUUAUUGCAGACUGACGGAUGAAUAGCCAAUUUCGUUCUACUACAAGCGAGCGUUACAGUAAAAAUUUCAAGUUAUAGUGCUAUUUUGUGAAUCAAAAAUUCUUAUUUGAUAAUUUUACAUAUAAUUCUUAUCCCAAAAUUGUCAAAACAUUCAAGAUAUUUGAAAUCAUUGGAAGUUAUAAAUAACAUAGAUGAAGAGUGUUCGGAAUUCAGUGAGGAGCAUCUGUCUGAAAGUAAAGUAGAUAACAUAGUACAAUAUAAUAAUUCAUUUGACAGUACAGAUGAAUGUGAGUCCUCAGGUAAAGAAAGCGAAGACGAGAAAAAUACCGUUAUCGAGUUCAGAAAGUGAAAAAUAUGUGGAAGACCGAUGUACUGAAAUUGCGCCUGAUGGUACAAUUUGGCAAGAAAUAGAACAAAGCGCAACACCUGGACGUUCUCCAAUUUAUAAUAUUUUUAGGGAGGUUGUAGGCCCGACAGCGUAUGCCAAACGCAAUAUAAGAAGAAGUAAGAACUGUAUUUUCUUUGAUUAUUGUCAAUCGUGUAAUGGAGCACAUAAGAAAAUGCACAGAAGAAGAAGCCUCUUGAGUAUUGGGAGCUCAAUGGAAUUUUACUCCUGCAAAAGUGAAUGUAUUUAUUGGUCUUCUAUGUAUAUGCACGUGGCUUAUAUCAGGCAAAAAAUUUGAACAUUUCAUAUCUAUCACUAAAUGGGGUCUAGCCAGCAACGAAGCCAGCGUUUACAAAAUGGUAAAUUCGCUCUAAUCUCAGAAGUAUGGUACAAAUUCAUCAAGAAUAGCCAAAAUUGUUAGAAGCCUGUGUAACAUGUAACUAUCGAUGAACAGCUCUUCGAAAACAAAGUAGAUUUACACAAUAUAUGCCGAACAAACCGAAUAAGUUUGGUAUCAAAUUUUGGCUAGCAUCUGAUGUCAGCACUAAAUACAUCAUAAAUGGAUUUUCAUAUUUGGAAAAUACAUCAUAAAUGGAUUUUCAUAUUUGGAUUUUCAUAUUUGCUUCAACUCCGCUUGCGAAAUUCGUUGUUCUCAAACUAAUGGAACCGUUCACAGGAUGCGAAAGAAGCGUCACUACAGAUAAUUUCUUUACAAGCGCUUCACUCGCUACGAAACUAUUAGAAAAGAGAACCACUCUUUUGGAAACGAUUCGCGGAAGCAUAAGAGAACUGCCCAAAUUAGCCAAGUAGAAGAAAGAUGGUGCGCCACGCUUCUCAACAAAACUAUAUAGGUAAAUCCAAGAAUGAUAUAAACAAGAUUGCGCCCAUCAGAGCGUACGUGUCGUCACGUUUGCUGAGUUGUGCAGUAUUGCCAACCAUUUGCUCUUCGCAAUAAAUUUAGUGCUUUUUUAUACCGAAAAUGCGAAAAUUUUGAAGUUUCGUGUUUGUUUCUUUUUGCGUUUAAUUUAAAGCUACCGAAUGCUUCAAUGCUAUCACUAGUAAAAUGCUUCAUACAUAUAAAGCUCGUUUUUCGAUUGAAGGCAUUUCCUCGCCGGCAGAAAUGCAUCCACUGUUUGCAGAGCGCCUCAUCCUUUGGAAAUAUAAUAUAAAAAAGCUUAUAUCACACGCUUUAUUGAGGUUCUUACUAGCACAAUUUUUCACUGCACAUUUCAUGUUUUCUUAUUUUUCACUUAUACGAGUACACUUUCACGAAAUAUCUUAUUUUUGCGUAAAUAUUCACUAAAACGUUUGUUACCGUUUGUUCUUAUUAACGCACAUUUCAAAUAAGAAACGAAUAUUCAUAAACAUCAACAAUAACCGCAAUCAUGGGCAAUGUGACCAGAUCUCUGAGAAGAUUUUAGUGCUAAUGAAAAGUUUUUUACUCUUAUAAAAUUUGAUCAUUUGAAAGUGCAAAUUUAAUUUUUGGCUCCAUUUAAGGUUAUGCAAAAAUAUUAUUUGCCCCGCUCCCAACUCUUCUUAAGAUUGAAAACCUUUUUACACAUUUUAAAAAGCCUUUGAAUUUAUUGAAUGCGAAUUAAAACCUUAGAGGUGUAAUUGUUUCUUCCGGUCAUAAAUCUUUAGUGAGACAUAGGACAUUAAGAGUUGUAUUCAUUGUAAAAAUAAGCCACAAACUACCAGAAAAUACUAAAGAAACCAUACUGACAUUUUUACAAAAAGAGUACCUUAUCUAGUUACAUAACUUCAAAUAUAGCAAAAAAGCCGUUCCCUUAACAAAAGAGUCUCGUUUAAGAAAAACCUCAUAAAUUAAAUUGUACAUAAGCAUGACAUAUUUAUUUAAAAAAACGCACAUUUUAAAGACAAUUUGUCACGCAUACAAAGUUCUUUAAGUGAUUCAAUAAAAAUUUGUUGGGUUAUUUUCUUUGAAUGGGCA